RNAcentral lists this ribosomal RNA (443 nucleotides) under uncultured bacterium. Its description in RNAcentral is "partial 16S ribosomal RNA". It matches the Rfam family "Bacterial small subunit ribosomal RNA", at positions 338 to 795 of the family's 1533-position model. The record is from RNAcentral.
CCUACGGGAGGCAGCAGUGGGGAAUAUUGCACAAUGGGGGAAACCCUGAUGCAGCGACGCCGCGUGAGUGAAGAAGUAUUUCGGUAUGUAAAGCUCUAUCAGCAGGGAAGAAAGGAAUGACGGUACCUGACUAAGAAGCCCCGGCUAACUACGUGCCAGCAGCCGCGUUAAUACGUAGGGGGCAAGCGUUAUCCGGAUUUACUGGGUGUAAAGGGCGCGUAGACGGUUAUGCAAGUCUGGAGUGAAAGGCUGGGGCCCAACCCCCGGACUGCAUUGGAAACUGUAUAACUGGAGUGCAGGAGAGGUAAGUGGAAUUCCAAGUGUAGCGGUGAAAUGCGUAGAGAUUAGGAGGAACACCAGUGGCGAAGGCGGCUUACUGGACUGUAACUGACGUUGAGGGUCGAAAGCGUGGGGAGCAAACAGGAUUAGAUACCCGUGUAGUC